Molecule: long non-coding RNA, 416 nt
Organism: Monodelphis domestica (gray short-tailed opossum)
Lineage: Eukaryota; Metazoa; Chordata; Mammalia; Didelphimorphia; Didelphidae
Source: RefSeq, a predicted model, not a curated record
AUUUCAACUCUCAAUUUGUGUAAGUGUUUCCUGUUCUCCCCCAUUCCAGCUCAUUGUUCCAGUCUUCAUUCUGCCUUCCAUGUGCUUUUAGAUUACUGUUGCAGAGAAGGAGAAAAGGAAAAACAAAGUCUCUGUAGCAAAUACGCCAAGUCAAGCAAAAUACAUUCCUGCCUUGGCCAUUUCUAAAAAUGUAUAUGUCAUACUGCACAUGGAAUCCAUCACCUCUCUGUAAGGAGGGAUUUCCUGGCUCCCAGAAGAUGGCUUGAGCCUGUCAGUCCCUAAGCACAAGAUCUCCAGGCAGCAACAGAAGAAGUGGGCAGCUUUUUGGCAAAUUCUGUGACAUCUGGAAUGGAAGAAGGUAAGAUUCAGGGGGCUAAAAGUGUGUGUUUGUUUUUUCUUCUUUAAAUAGAAUAGCU